GUCUACAGCCAUACCAUCCUGAACACACCCAAUCUUGUCUGAUCUUGGAAGCUAAGCAGAGUCUGGGCCUGGUUAAUACUUGGAUGGGAGACUGCCUGAGAAUACUAGAUGCUGUAGGUG
RNAcentral lists this ribosomal RNA (120 nucleotides) under Microcebus murinus (gray mouse lemur). The record is from RNAcentral. Lineage: Eukaryota; Metazoa; Chordata; Mammalia; Primates; Cheirogaleidae.